RNAcentral lists this unclassified non-coding RNA (240 nucleotides) under soil metagenome. Its description in RNAcentral is "partial contains 5.8S ribosomal RNA, internal transcribed spacer 2, and large subunit ribosomal RNA". The record is from RNAcentral.
AACACUGUUAACCUGCGGUACCUGCGGAAGGAUCAUUACUGAGUCACGUGCUCAAACAACCCUUCUGUGGACCUGAAAUAAAACCGUUGCCUCGGCGGGCGGUCCCCCCCAAACCAACCCCACGUGGUGGGUUAGGGGAGACCAGACAGUCCGGUACGCUUAAGGCGUCCGGCGCCAGCCGCUGGCCCCAAACAAUUAAACUCUAGUAAUCUUUACCUUCUGAAUUUCAAUAUUUAAAAA